AUGCAGUCGAGCGAACAGAUAAGGAGCUUGCUCCUUUGACGUUAGCGGCGGACGGGUGAGUAACACGUGGGUAACCUACCUAUAAGACUGGAAUAACUUCGGGAAACCGAAGCUAAUGCCGGAUAACAUGUAGAACCGCAUGGUUCUACAGUGAAAGAUGGCCUUGCUAUCACUUAUAGAUGGACCCGCGCCGUAUUAGCUAGUUGGUAAGGUAACGGCUUACCAAGGCAACGAUACGUAGCCGACCUGAGAGGGUGAUCGGCCACACUGGAACUGAGACACGGUCCAGACUCCUACGGGAGGCAGCAGUAGGGAAUCUUCCGCAAUGGGCGAAAGCCUGACGGAGCAACGCCGCGUGAGUGAUGAAGGUCUUCGGAUCGUAAAGCUCUGUUAUUAGGGAAGAACAAGUGCGUAAGUAACUGUGCGCACCUUGACGGUACCUAAUCAGAAAGCCACGGCUAACUACGUGCCAGCAGCCGCGGUAAUACGUAGGUGGCAAGCGUUAUCCGGAAUUAUUGGGCGUAAAGCGCGCGUAGGCGGUUUCUUAAGUCUGAUGUGAAAGCCCACGGCUCAACCGUGGAGGGUCAUUGGAAACUGGGAGACUUGAGUGCAGAAGAGGAAAGUGGAAUUCCAUGUGUAGCG
RNAcentral lists this ribosomal RNA (642 nucleotides) under Staphylococcus kloosii. RNAcentral's name for it is "bacterial SSU rRNA". It matches the Rfam family "Bacterial small subunit ribosomal RNA", at positions 55 to 680 of the family's 1533-position model. The record is from RNAcentral. Lineage: Bacteria; Bacillati; Bacillota; Bacilli; Caryophanales; Staphylococcaceae.